GUGGGGAAUAUUGCACAAUGGGGGAAACCCUGAUGCAGCGACGCCGCGUGGAGGAAGAAGGUCUUCGGAUUGUAAACUCCUGUUGUUGAGGAAGAUAAUGACGGUACUCAACAAGGAAGUGACGGCUAACUACGUGCCAGCAGCCGCGGUAAAACGUAGGUCACAAGCGUUGUCCGGAAUUACUGGGUGUAAAGGGAGCGCAGGCGGGAAGACAAGUUGGAAGUGAAAUCCAUGGGCUCAACCCAUGAACUGCUUUCAAAACUGUUUUUCUUGAGUAGUGCAGAGGUAGGCGGAAUUCCCGGUGUAGCGGUGGAAUGCGUAGAUAUCGGGAGGAACACCAGUGGCGAAGGCGGCCUACUGGGCACCAACUGACGCUGAGGCUCGAAAGUGUGGGUAGCAAACAGGAUUAGAUACCCCAGUAGUCC
RNAcentral lists this ribosomal RNA (425 nucleotides) under uncultured bacterium. RNAcentral's name for it is "partial 16S ribosomal RNA". It matches the Rfam family "Bacterial small subunit ribosomal RNA", at positions 354 to 796 of the family's 1533-position model. The record is from RNAcentral.